GGGAAUGUAGCUUAUUGGUAAAGUGCUUGCCUAGCAUGCAUGAAGUCCUGGGUUCGAUUCCUCAGUACCA
This 70-nucleotide transfer RNA is filed under the name Dipodomys ordii (Ord's kangaroo rat). It matches the Rfam family "tRNA". Rfam says of the family: Transfer RNA (tRNA) molecules are approximately 80 nucleotides in length. Their secondary structure includes four short double-helical elements and three loops (D, anti-codon, and T loops). Lineage: Eukaryota; Metazoa; Chordata; Mammalia; Rodentia; Heteromyidae. The record is from Rfam by way of RNAcentral.